Molecule: ribosomal RNA, 164 nt
Filed under: Sesuvium portulacastrum
Lineage: Eukaryota; Viridiplantae; Streptophyta; Magnoliopsida; Caryophyllales; Aizoaceae
Description: 5.8S ribosomal RNA
Rfam family: 5.8S ribosomal RNA
About the family: 5.8S ribosomal RNA (5.8S rRNA) is a component of the large subunit of the eukaryotic ribosome. It is transcribed by RNA polymerase I as part of the 45S precursor that also contains 18S and 28S rRNA.
Source: RNAcentral
ACAACGACUCUCGGCAACGGAUAUCUCGGCUCUCGCAUCGAUGAAGAACGUAGCGAAAUGCGAUACUUGGUGUGAAUUGCAGAAUCCCGUGAACCAUCGAGUCUUUGAACGCAAGUUGCGCCCGAAGCCGUCAGGCCGAGGGCACGCCUGCCUGGGCGUCACGC